GACGGACGCUGGCGGCGUGCUUAACACAUGCAAGUCGAACGGAAAGGCCCCAGCUUGCUGGGGUACUCGAGUGGCGAACGGGUGAGUAACGCGUGGGUGAUCUGCCCUGCACUCUGGGAUAAGCCUGGGAAACUGGGUCUAAUACCGGAUAGGACCGUGCUUUAGUGUGUGCGGUGGAAAGUUUUUCGGUGCAGGAUGAGCCCGCGGCCUAUCAGCUUGUUGGUGGGGUAAUGGCCUACCAAGGCGGCGACGGGUAGCCGGCCUGAGAGGGUGUACGGCCACAUUGGGACUGAGACACGGCCCAGACUCCUACGGGAGGCAGCAGUGGGGAAUAUUGCACAAUGGGCGCAAGCCUGAUGCAGCGACGCCGCGUGGGGGAUGACGGCCUUCGGGUUGUAAACCCCUUUCGGCAGGGACGAAGCCUUUGUGACGGUACCUGCAGAAGAAGCACCGGCUAACUACGUG
RNAcentral lists this ribosomal RNA (465 nucleotides) under uncultured bacterium. Its description in RNAcentral is "partial 16S ribosomal RNA". It matches the Rfam family "Bacterial small subunit ribosomal RNA", at positions 28 to 507 of the family's 1533-position model. The record is from RNAcentral.